AUGCACGCUGGCGGCGUGCCUAAUACAUGCAAGUCGAGCGAACAGACGAGGAGCUUGCUCCUCUGACGUUAGCGGCGGACGGGUGAGUAACCCGUGGAUAACCUACCUAUAAGACUGGGAUAACUUCGGGAAACCGGAGCUAAUACCGGAUAAUAUAUUGAACCGCAUGGUUCAAUAGUGAAAGACGGUUUUGCUGUCACUUAUAGAUGGAUCCGCGCCGCAUUAGCUAGUUGGUAAGGUAACGGCUUACCAAGGCAACGAUGCGUAGCCGACCUGAGAGGGUGAUCGGCCACACUGGAACUGAGACACGGUCCAGACUCCUACGGGAGGCAGCAGUAGGGAAUCUUCCGCAAUGGGCGAAAGCCUGACGGAGCAACGCCGCGUGAGUGAUGAAGGUCUUCGGAUCGUAAAACUCUGUUAUUAGGGAAGAACAAAUGUGUAAGUAACUAUGCACGUCUUGACGGUACCUAAUCAGAAAGCCACGGCUAACUACGUG
This 496-nucleotide ribosomal RNA is filed under the name uncultured bacterium. RNAcentral describes it as "partial 16S ribosomal RNA". It matches the Rfam family "Bacterial small subunit ribosomal RNA", at positions 29 to 507 of the family's 1533-position model. The record is from RNAcentral.